This 657-nucleotide long non-coding RNA is filed under the name Brassica napus (rape). RNAcentral describes it as "long non-coding RNA (BNAP_LNC009993)". Lineage: Eukaryota; Viridiplantae; Streptophyta; Magnoliopsida; Brassicales; Brassicaceae. The record is from RNAcentral.
CAAGAGAACAUGUUCAUCGGGACAUUCAUCGGGUGAACCCAUAGUGGGAUUGAUUUAACUUAUGACUUCUCCUUAAGUUCAUCUGAAGUCCAAUUUGUUACCACCAACAGUAUAUUUCCAAUACUCCACAUCCCCCUUCUAAAUAUGCGCGCUCUCAUAGAUGGAUUUGCAACUCAGAACUUCAUUGUUUUUGAAUUUACCUCAUAGACUUUAACUACCUGCCCUUUUCCUCCAUCUCUACAAAUCUUAUUCAUUACAGCAUGAAUACGAGCAAUAUGACGUGUUGUAUCCAAAAACUUCCCAAUAUGAAAAUAUCCCCAUAGUGGAUUUGUGUUGAUUACUACUUCAUUUGGAAUCUCCACGUUCAGCUUGCCUUCCAAAUCCGUAAUAUUGAGAUUGUAUUUCUUCAAUACCUUCGUUUCCUGAGCAACAUCAACCCACGAAGCUGCCUUUGGUUUAGUUAUUUCUUGCCUCUUCAGAUCCUUCUCCGAUCCAGAUCCAAACUUAUCUUCCGAUACUCCCUCUUGAUCCUUUCCUCCUUCCAAACUCAACUCAGAUGAUUCCGAUUGGAUCACCGAUCAAGCGCAACCUUUUUAUUCUCUUCUAAACCCAAACCAGAUGGUUUCGAUUGAAGAACCGAGUCCAUCACAUCCCUCA